CCUCCUAAUUUCUUCUCAAUCUUUCAUAGUCUCUCUCAUCUCUUCUUCUUCGCGCAUCAAACCCUAGUCGCUCUUGAUCUCCUUGCGUCUUCAUCUCUUCUAAUUUCUCUUCUGUCUCUUUUUCUUUUUCUCAUACAAAGAAGCAAGAUGUCAAGAACAAGGAUUUAUGGAAGUUCCUACGGUAUCUACUCCAAGAAAGAGAAGUUGGAGCUUGAAGGUGAUCAAUACAAGUGUUUGUCUUAGCCUUGCCUUGCAUAGUCACACCAUCACGUAAUGUGCUCUUUUCUUUCCUACAUUUGUAUAUGGACUUUUGUGUUUUUUAUUUCUUUGUUAGUACAUUCAUGUUUUGUAUAUUAUGAUUGUGUUAUAUUUGUCAAAUUAUUUAGUUUAACUUUUAAGAAUACUAUGAAAUUUAAUUUGUAAUAUUAUUUUUUCAUUUUUAAGUUAAUUUA
Molecule: long non-coding RNA, 452 nt
Organism: Cucumis melo (muskmelon)
Lineage: Eukaryota; Viridiplantae; Streptophyta; Magnoliopsida; Cucurbitales; Cucurbitaceae
Exons: 3
Source: RefSeq, a predicted model, not a curated record